This 304-nucleotide long non-coding RNA is filed under the name Aquila chrysaetos chrysaetos. Its description in RNAcentral is "lncRNA (ENSACCG00020016850.1)". The record is from RNAcentral. Lineage: Eukaryota; Metazoa; Chordata; Aves; Accipitriformes; Accipitridae.
AGCGGGUGCUGAACCCCGACCCCGAGGUCUUCUGCCUGCAGGUCCAUGGGCGCCGCCGCUACGAGAUGCUGAAGGAGAUCAACGAAGCGCUGGAGGCGGCCGAGGGGGCGGUGGCACUGCCACGGCCGGUGAAGGGUCGCCGCCCGCGGGGGGAGGGGCUGGUGCCGCGCUGCGGGAAGAAGCUGCUGCUGAAGGGGGAGCCGGUGGACUCCGACUGACCACGCCCCCUUUUCUGGAGGCCACGCCCACCCUGCCCUGCUCUCCGUGAAGCCACGCCCAUCUUACCGUACCCCCGCCUCCUAAC